UCGGGAAUUUUGGGCAAUGGGGGAAACCCUGACCCAGCAACGCCGCGUGAAGGAUGAAGUAUUUCGGUAUGUAAACUUCGAAAGAAUAGGAAGAAUAAAUGACGAUACUAUUUAUAAGGUCCGGCUAACUACGUGCCAACAGCCGCGGUAAUACGUAGGGACCAAGCGUUGUUCGGAUUUACUGGGCGUAAAGGGCGCGUAGGCGGCAUGACAAGUCACUUGUGAAAUCUCUGGGCUUAACCCAGAACGGCCAAGUGAUACUGUCGCGCUAGAGUGCAGAAGGGGCAAUCGGAAUUCUUGGUGUAGCGGUGAAAUGCGUAGAUAUCAAGAGGAACACCUGAGGUGAAGACGGGUUGCUGGGCUGACACUGACGCUGAGGCGCGAAAGCCAGGGGAGCAAACGGGAUUAGAUACCCUUGUAGUCCCUGAGCGGGCUGGCAAGGCGCAU
This 447-nucleotide ribosomal RNA is filed under the name uncultured bacterium. RNAcentral describes it as "bacterial SSU rRNA". It matches the Rfam family "Bacterial small subunit ribosomal RNA", at positions 355 to 825 of the family's 1533-position model. The record is from RNAcentral.